CGCGUAGGCGGGCUUUUAAGUUGGGGGUGAAAUCCCGGGGCUCAACUCCGGAACUGCCUCCAAAACUGGAAGCCCUGAGGUAUGGAGAGGGAAGUGGAAUUCCUGGUGUAGCGGUGAAAUGCGUAGAUAUCAGGAGGAACACCCGUGGCGAAGGCGGCUUCCUGGCCAUAUCCUGACGCUGAGGUGCGAAAGCUAGGGGAGCGAACGGGAUUAGAUACCCCGGUAGUCCUAGCCGUAAACGAUGGAUACUAGGUGUUAGAGGUAUCGACCCCUCUAGUGCCGAAGCUAACGCAUUAAGUAUCCCGCCUGGGGAGUACGGCCGCAAGGCUGAA
This 332-nucleotide ribosomal RNA is filed under the name uncultured bacterium. Its description in RNAcentral is "bacterial SSU rRNA". It matches the Rfam family "Bacterial small subunit ribosomal RNA", at positions 568 to 898 of the family's 1533-position model. The record is from RNAcentral.